GUCUCUUUGGUGCAAUCGGUUAGCGCGUUCGGCUGUUAACUGAAAGGUUGGUGGUUCAAGCCCACCCAGGUACG
Danio rerio (zebrafish) is the source of this 74-nucleotide non-coding RNA. Lineage: Eukaryota; Metazoa; Chordata; Actinopteri; Cypriniformes; Danionidae. The record is from Rfam.